Molecule: ribosomal RNA, 497 nt
Filed under: uncultured bacterium
Lineage: Bacteria
Description: partial 16S ribosomal RNA
Rfam family: Bacterial small subunit ribosomal RNA
Source: RNAcentral
GAUGAACGCUGGCGGCGUGCCUAAUACAUGCAAGUCGAGCGAACAGACGAGGAGCUUGCUCCUCUGACGUUAGCGACGGACGGGUGAGUAACACGUGGAUAACCUACCUAUAAGACUGGGAUAACUUCGGGAAACCGGAGCUAAUACCGGAUAAUAUAUUGAACCGCAUGGUUCAAUAGUGAAAGACGGUUUUGCUGUCACUUAUAGAUGGAUCCGCGCCGCAUUAGCUAGUUGGUAAGGUAACGGCUUACCAAGGCAACGAUGCGUAGCCGACCUGAGAGGGUGAUCGGCCACACUGGAACUGAGACACGGUCCAGACUCCUACGGGAGGCAGCAGUAGGGAAUAUUCGGCAAUGGGCGAAAGCUUGACGGAGCAACGCCGCGUGAGUGAUGAAGGUCUUCGGAUCGUAAAACUCUGUUAUUAGGGAAGAACAAAUGUGUAAGUAACUAUGCCCGUCUUGACGGUACCUAAUCAGAAAGCAACGGCUAACUACGUG